AGAGGGAACCCGGUGAGAAUCCGGGACUGUCCCGCAGCGGUAUGCAGGAACGACCGCCGUCAUCAGCACUGGUCGCCCGGGGCCCUGCCCCGACUGGGAAGCGACGGCCACUAGGAGCACCCCCGGUGCGCGCCUGCGAGUCCGAAAACCU
Molecule: non-coding RNA, 151 nt
Filed under: Mycobacterium triviale
Lineage: Bacteria; Bacillati; Actinomycetota; Actinomycetes; Mycobacteriales; Mycobacteriaceae
Source: RNAcentral